GAUGGUGUGACUGUCAACUUCUUCUUUUUUGGUUCUGCAUUUCAUUUGCAUCAUGACACAUUGCACCCAAGAAAUUUACUUGUCAUUCUUUUAGACCGUCUGUUUAUCUUGGAGUUGGCUGCUACCCAGUUGUAUUUAAUCUUGACAAACUUGUUUGCUUUGCAGGCUCCAAACAAGGACAGCAGCUGCAGUGUCAGAAAAUGCCAUAGUUCUGAGUUUUAAAUUGAGGGUUUAAAGCAGAACAGCAGCUACAGUGUCAAAGCUCCAGAGUUUAAACUCAAGAGUCAUUACUGGAUACUUACUAGCAGGAUCUGCCAUUGGACCCAAAGGCUUGAAUUUUGUCAGUGAAAUAGUCCAAGAGGCUUGUCUUUAUUCCUAUUUUGCUUGAUUGAUUCUUUCUUUGCGCUUCCCCUAUUGAUUGUUUCUUCAGGAUUAUGUUUUCAGUUGUUCCAUUUGCAGAUUCAAAAUCAUGAAUACUCAUGUUAUACUAGAUUCAAAAUCACGAAUACUCAUGUUAUACUAGUUCGGUCUUUUGCCAUUCAGUAUAGGUGGAUCUAUAAUUUUCUUGUCAUUAAUUUAUGUGUGUUUACAUUUGGUAAAGUCCAGUUAUAUUAGUAUUGAGAUUCACUGCCUUUUUAGUACCUUUUAAGCUCAGUCAUGUCGGUAUUUCUUUUUUUUGAGUUUAGUAAUACCAGAAAUCACUGUCAUUAGGUUUAUGUUGCACUGUGAAACUGACUUUGUCAUUCUCUUGCAGGGCCUUGGAUUACAAGUUGUGAAAUAUUUGGCUGCCAAAUAUGAAGAGCUAGGGUGUGAAGUGAAAUGGAUGGGCAGGCCUGAUAAGGUGAUCUAGUCACAUUGGUCUGGUUA
This is a long non-coding RNA of Rosa rugosa (rugosa rose), 867 nucleotides long. RefSeq lists it as uncharacterized. The transcript has 3 exons. The record is from RefSeq and is a predicted model, not a curated record. NCBI's taxonomy places the organism in Eukaryota, Viridiplantae, Streptophyta, Magnoliopsida, Rosales, Rosaceae.